Molecule: ribosomal RNA, 253 nt
Filed under: uncultured bacterium
Lineage: Bacteria
Description: partial 16S ribosomal RNA
Rfam family: Bacterial small subunit ribosomal RNA
Source: RNAcentral
UACGGGGGGGGCAAGCGUUGUUCGGAAUUACUGGGCGUAAAGGGCGCGUAGGCGGCCUUCUAAGUCGGACGUGAAAUCCCUCGGCUUAACCGAGGAACUGCGUCCGAUACUGAAAGGCUUGAAUCCAGGAGAGGGAUGUGGAAUUCCAGGUGUAGCGGUGAAAUGCGUAGAUAUCUGGAGGAACACCGGUGGCGAAGGCGGCAUCCUGGACCGGCAUUGACGCUGAGGCGCGAAAGCUAGGGGAGCAAACAGG